RNAcentral lists this ribosomal RNA (466 nucleotides) under uncultured bacterium. RNAcentral's name for it is "partial 16S ribosomal RNA". It matches the Rfam family "Bacterial small subunit ribosomal RNA", at positions 339 to 795 of the family's 1533-position model. The record is from RNAcentral.
CUACGGGGGGCAGCAGUCGAGAAUAGUCUACAAUGGACGAAAGUCUGAUAGUGCGACGCCGCGUGGAUGAAGAAGCAUUUCGGUGUGUAAAGUCCUUUUCUGUGUGAGCAAUGUUUUCCAGGUUAAUAGCUUGGAGAAAGCGAUAUUAACACAGGAAUAAGCUCCGGCUAACUCCGUGCCAGCAGCCGCGGUAACACGGGGGGAGCAAGCGUUGUCCGGAAUUACUAGGCGUAAAGGGUAAGUAGGCGGAAUUGUAAGUCAGAUGUUAAAGGCACCGGCUCAACCGGUGUAUGGCAUUUGAUACUGUAAUUCUAGAGUAAGGUGGGGGAAGACGGAAUUCCUGGUGUAGCGGUGGAAUGCGCAGAUAUCAGGAGGAACACCAGAGGCGCAGGCGGUCUUCUAUACCAUUACUGACGCUCAAUUACGAAGGUGUGGGUAUCAAACAGGAUUAGAUACCCUAGUAGUC